GGAGCGCGUUCGCGAAUCAUUUGAGUCAGUUCGGGAGUUCAGAGCGGGACCGCGAAUCAUUUGAAUCAGUUCAGGAGUUCAGAGCGAGUUCGCGAAUCAUUUGAGUAAAUUCGGGAGUUCGGAGCGGGAUCGCGAAUCGGAGUCAGUUCGAGAGUCCAUUUGAGUCAGUGGGUUCGCGAAUCAUUUGAGUCAGUUUGGCAGUUUGGAGCGUGAAUCAUUUGGGCCAGUUCGGGAGUUCGGAGCGUGAAUCAUUUUAAUCAGUUCGGGAGUUCGCGAAUCAUUUGAGUCUGUUCGGGCGCUCGGAGCGGGAUCGCGAAUCAUUUGAAUCAGUUCGGGCAUCACGGAGGCGGCAUGAGGAACUCCUGCUCCACUUAACGGUCUCGCUUCCCACGGAGGAGAUCGGAGGGAUACAAAAGAGGAGCAAUGACAGGAUGAGAAAGGACCAGGCCUAGACUUUAUUUUGUGUUUGGAGGGACUUGUCAGCAAAUCUACUUCACAGCACGUCAGUGAAAGCAGUUGACAGUUACAGACGUGUGUGUUGGAUCAGGGUCAGGGUCAGAUCUGAAUUCUGCAGGUUUCCUGGGAUGACUGUUGAAGAGAUCAGCACAUCAGAUGUUGGCCUGGACAGCUGUACCUACAGUACACCACACUGACUUCCUUGCAUGGAUAGCUGACUACUACUGUUAUGUUCUGUGAAGGUAUUUUUUUAUUUUAUUUUUUUUACUUGUAAGCACAGUGCAGUGAUAAUGGUCAAACUGUGUAUUUACAAUGUUAAAGUGGCUGAAAACAAUAAAUAUUCUUAUUAGAGAUAAAACUGCAUCGUUUUUAACUGUGUAGAGCAGUAGCGUUAUCUGAAUAAUUAGGCCUACUACGCUACUGUAAUUUUAAUAUUGGUCAUUGUGGUGGUACUUGGAGAGCCAAAUAUUUUCUGAGGUGGUACUUGGUAUAAAACGUUAUAGAUCAACUGCAUUAGAAAGUUGCAUUGGCACACCCAGUGAACAACGGUAACUUAAAGGGUUAGUUCACCCAAAAAUGAAAAUUAUGUCAUUAAUAACUCACCCUUAUGCUGUUCCAAACAUGUAAGACCUCCUUUUAUCUUCGGAACACAGUUUAAAGGGGGGGUGAAAUGCUUGUUUUCACUCAAUACAGGGCCGUCGCCAGAACAAACCAAAUGGGGGGGCAUUUAAUUUUCAUAGGGGGCACACUUUUUUUAAUGAUCUGAGACAGACCAUAACAUAAACUCAUAUUAGGCUAUAACUAAAAUAGACCACAAUAAUCUUGUUUUGUUUAAUUAUUCAAAUAAAAUACUUCACCGUUUGAUCUCAACGUCUCUGUUUAUUGUCUUUUAACAUUUCCAAAACCGCCAAAAAUUUAUUCUGAGAUCGCAUGCAACGCGCAGCUCAGCUGCGCAAAGGAAUUGCGUAUAAACAAUACAAUACUGUAUGCUUAACUAAAUGAAUUGCAUUAUUUAUAUAUACAUAUACAUAUACUUAAACACAAACUGCAUAU
Molecule: long non-coding RNA, 1509 nt
Filed under: Carassius auratus (goldfish)
Lineage: Eukaryota; Metazoa; Chordata; Actinopteri; Cypriniformes; Cyprinidae
Description: lncRNA (ENSCARG00000064418.1)
Source: RNAcentral